ACCCUAAACUGUCAGCUGCAAAUUGAAAUCCUCAUCUCUGACUAUAAUUUUGGCUGAAAAAGGAAUGAAAGUGAUGUUGAGCUCCUGGAGAACUACCCUGUGAGAUUAAGAAAGUCAAGUUGAGAAAAAUCACAGUGAAGACAACUGGACAGUGGAGCUUUCAAUCACUUUGCUCACAGUAGCCAUCUGUACUUUAAAAUCUUCUAAUAGAAAAAUAGAGGUGUAUUUUGCCCUCUGAAUGUUAAACAGUAUCUCCAAAGUUUUGUGUAAUGAAGCUUAAACUAUGACAUAUUAAAAGUGUAACAUCGCUAA
Long non-coding RNA from Suricata suricatta (meerkat), 312 nucleotides. RefSeq lists it as uncharacterized. Lineage: Eukaryota; Metazoa; Chordata; Mammalia; Carnivora; Herpestidae. The transcript is spliced from 2 exons. The record is from RefSeq and is a predicted model, not a curated record.